Molecule: transfer RNA, 77 nt
Filed under: Legionella sp.
Lineage: Bacteria; Pseudomonadati; Pseudomonadota; Gammaproteobacteria; Legionellales; Legionellaceae
Also listed under: 10 other names
Description: tRNA-Met
Rfam family: tRNA
About the family: Transfer RNA (tRNA) molecules are approximately 80 nucleotides in length. Their secondary structure includes four short double-helical elements and three loops (D, anti-codon, and T loops).
Source: RNAcentral
GGGCCUAUAGCUCAGUUGGUUAGAGCAGCGGACUCAUAAUCCGUUGGUCCUAGGUUCAAGUCCUAGUGGGCCCACCA